RNAcentral lists this ribosomal RNA (443 nucleotides) under uncultured bacterium. RNAcentral's name for it is "partial 16S ribosomal RNA". It matches the Rfam family "Bacterial small subunit ribosomal RNA", at positions 338 to 795 of the family's 1533-position model. The record is from RNAcentral.
CCUACGGGAGGCAGCAGUGGGGAAUAUUGGGCAAUGGAGGCAACUCUGACCCAGCAACGCCGCGUGAAUGAUGAAGGUCUUCGGAUUGUAAAGUUCUUUUCUAAGGGAAGAAGGAAGUGACGGUACCUUAGUAAUAAGCCUCGGCUAACUACGUGCCAUCAGCCGCGGUAAUACGUAGGAGCCAAGCGUUAUCCGGAAGGACUGGGCGUAAAGGGUGCGUAGGUGGUUUGACAAGUUAGUAGCGCAACUCCGGAGCUCAACUUCGGAAUUACUACUAAAACUGGUGGACUUGAGUGCAGGAGGGGGGAGCGGAAUUCCUGGUGUAGCGGUGGAAUGCGUAGAGAUUAGGAGGAACACCAGUGGCGAAGGCGGAUUGCUAGACUGUAACUGACGCUGAGGCACGAAAGCGUGGGGAGCAAACAGGAUUAGAUACCCGAGUAGUC